UACAGAGGUCCCAAGCGUUGUUCGGAUUCACUGGGCGUAAAGGGUGCGUAGGUGGCGAGGUAAGUCGGAUGUGAAAGCUCGGAGCUCAACUCCGAAAUGGCAUUGGAAACUACCUUGCUCGAGGGUUGGAGGGGGGAUUGGAAUUCUCGGUGUAGCAGUGAAAUGCGUAGAUAUCGAGAGGAACACCAGUGGCGAAGGCGAGUCCCUGGACAACUCCUGACACUGAGGCACGAAAGCUAGGGGAGCAAACAGG
This 253-nucleotide ribosomal RNA is filed under the name uncultured bacterium. RNAcentral describes it as "partial 16S ribosomal RNA". It matches the Rfam family "Bacterial small subunit ribosomal RNA", at positions 524 to 776 of the family's 1533-position model. The record is from RNAcentral.